UUUAAUUCUUCUGGUGGUUAUCUCCGUACAAUAUGUUCUAUUUCUUGGUUUAUGAAUGUUAGAUAGUAUUUUUAACUCCCACUAUGAAAAAUGAGAAUUUAACCCAUUUAUACUAUGUUCACCUAACCUCACCUCUCUUCUCUCUCCUUUCCUUCAGUCUUUGAUGAUGAUGAUUGAAUCAGAAUGUUGAAUAUGCACCCCUCCCCCAGACUGCCAUCACUGGAAGCUGCAAAGUUGAAAACAACAGGUGGCAGUGACAGAUAUCCUCACAUUCUCAAGAGAGGCGCCAGACUCUCUACAUGCAGGACUUGCUAAAAGAACAUCCCCGUGGAAUCCAGCCCAUUACCACUUCCACGUGAUAGAUUCAACAUCUCAGGGAAGCAAGUAUUCUACUGGCUGAGCCAAGGUCACAGGACGGCCCUGUAUCAAGCUGGUGAGAGGAAGGACAGAGCUGAAGGAGCCUCAUGGGGCCCCUCCAGCUUCCACUCUGGGAGGGCAGGCACGUGGUUUUAUUGUCCCACAAAGACUGCGCACAGUGAGGGCCAAGGUGACUCCCUACAAGGAAAUCAGAGCAUGGUUGGGAAGUGACACCACUGAGCACGUCCUACCAUUAAACAAGAUUCAGUGUAGCAGGUUUGGCGCUUUCUGUGAUGAGGUGAAUUGGUCAAGAUAAAAGGCAAAGAUUUUUUACACCAUGAAGGCUUCAGGGAUGAGCAGUGUCUUACAGACCUGAUAAUAGCAGUGCCUUUGAGGAGGACAAAUGCUUCAUGCAAAAUAAUUCUUUUAAUCUUCUCCGGUUGAUGUAGAUGUAAGCAAUAUUUCAUGGUAAAAAUACUAACACAUCUAUUUCCUUGGUUGCCUCUUUUUCUUCCUCUAACUGGCUGCAGUUUCUAAUUCACACUCAUGAACCUGCC
Molecule: long non-coding RNA, 914 nt
Filed under: Macaca mulatta (Rhesus monkey)
Lineage: Eukaryota; Metazoa; Chordata; Mammalia; Primates; Cercopithecidae
Description: lncRNA (ENSMMUG00000055509.1)
Source: RNAcentral